UAGAGAUGAGAGUGAUACCACUCUA
This 25-nucleotide unclassified non-coding RNA is filed under the name Mus musculus (house mouse). Its description in RNAcentral is "oocyte_clustered_small_RNA9444". The record is from RNAcentral. Lineage: Eukaryota; Metazoa; Chordata; Mammalia; Rodentia; Muridae.